This 471-nucleotide ribosomal RNA is filed under the name Salmonella enterica. RNAcentral describes it as "bacterial SSU rRNA". It matches the Rfam family "Bacterial small subunit ribosomal RNA", at positions 1 to 468 of the family's 1533-position model. Lineage: Bacteria; Pseudomonadati; Pseudomonadota; Gammaproteobacteria; Enterobacterales; Enterobacteriaceae. The record is from RNAcentral.
AAAUUGAAGAGUUUGAUCAUGGCUCAGAUUGAACGCUGGCGGCAGGCCUAACACAUGCAAGUCGAACGGUAACAGGAAGCAGCUUGCUGCUUCGCUGACGAGUGGCGGACGGGUGAGUAAUGUCUGGGAAACUGCCUGAUGGAGGGGGAUAACUACUGGAAACGGUAGCUAAUACCGCAUAAUGUCGCAGGACCAAAGAGGGGGACCUUCGGGCCUCUUGCCAUCAGAUGUGCCCAGAUGGGAUUAGCUUGUUGGUGAGGUAACGGCUCACCAAGGCGACGAUCCCUAGCUGGUCUGAGAGGAUGACCAGCCACACUGGAACUGAGACACGGUCCAGACUCCUACGGGAGGCAGCAGUGGGGAAUAUUGCACAAUGGGCGCAAGCCUGAUGCAGCCAUGCCGCGUGUAUGAAGAAGGCCUUCGGGUUGUAAAGUACUUUCAGCGGGGAGGAAGGUGUUGUGGUUAAUAACC